Molecule: ribosomal RNA, 468 nt
Filed under: uncultured bacterium
Lineage: Bacteria
Description: partial 16S ribosomal RNA
Rfam family: Bacterial small subunit ribosomal RNA
Source: RNAcentral
GACGAACGCUGGCGGCGUGCUUAACACAUGCAAGUCGAACGGUAAGGCCUUGCUUUCGUGGGGUGCUCGAGUCGCACAGGGGUGAGUAACACGUGUGUCCUACGUCUUAGACUUUGGUAUGACUUCGGGACACUGGGGAUAAUCCCGUAUAGGCGAUCCUGCUGCAUGGUGGGGGUUGGAAAGUUUCGGCUGUUGGUAUAGGUCUCGCGGCCUAUCAGCUUGUUGGUGGGGUAGUGGCUCACCAAGGCGUUGACGGGUAGCCGGCCUGAGAGGGUGACCGGCCACACUGGGACUGAGACACGGCCCAGACUCCUACGGGAGGCAGCAGUGGGGAAUAUUGCACAAUGGGCGCAAGCCUGAUGCAGCGACGCCGCGUGCGGGAUGACGGCCUUCGGGUUGUAAACCGCUGUCAGCAGGGACGAAGCGUGAUUGACGGUAAUGGGAAAAGAAGCACCGGCUAACUACGUG